UAGGGAAUCUUCCGCAAUGGACGCAAGUCUGACGGAGCAACGCCGCGUGAGUGAAGAAGGAUUUCGGUUCGUAAAACUCUGUUGUUAGAGAAGAACAGCGCAUAGAGUAACUGUUAUGCGUGUGACGGUAUCUAACCAGAAAGCCACGGCUAACUACGUGCCAGCAGCCGCGGUAAUACGUAGGUGGCAAGCGUUGUCCGGAUUUAUUGGGCGUAAAGCGAGCGCAGGCGGUCAAUUAAGUCUGAUGUGAAAGCCCCCGGCUCAACCGGGGAGGGUCAUUGGAAACUGGUUGGCUUGAGUGCAGAGGAGGAGGGUGGAAUUCCAUGUGUAACGGUGAAAUGCGUAGAUAUAUGGAGGAACACCAGUGGCGAAGGCGACUCUCUGGUCUGUAACUGACGCUGAGGCUCGAAAGCGUGGGUAGCAAACAGG
RNAcentral lists this ribosomal RNA (429 nucleotides) under Bacteroidota bacterium. Its description in RNAcentral is "Bacteroidetes bacterium partial 16S ribosomal RNA". It matches the Rfam family "Bacterial small subunit ribosomal RNA", at positions 355 to 776 of the family's 1533-position model. The record is from RNAcentral. Lineage: Bacteria; Pseudomonadati; Bacteroidota.